ACGGGUGAGUAAUACAUCGGAACGUAUCCUGGAGUGGGGGAUAGCCCGGCGAAAGCCGGAUUAAUACCGCAUACGCUCUGAGGAGGAAAGCGGGGGACCUUCGGGCCUCGCGCUCAAGGGGCGGCCGAUGGCGGAUUAGGUAGUUGGUGGGGUAAAGGCCUACCAAGCCGACGAUCCGUAGCUGGUCUGAGAGGACGACCAGCCACACUGGGACUGAGACACGGCCCAGACUCCUACGGGAGGCAGCAGUGGGGAAUUUUGGACAAUGGGGGCAACCCUGAUCCAGCAAUGCCGCGUGUGUGAAGAAGGCCUUCGGGUUAUAAAGCACUUUUGUCCGGAAAGAAAUCAUCGGGGCCAAUACCCCUGGUGGAUGACGGUACCGGAAGAAUAAGCACCGGCUAACUACGUGCCAGCAGCCGCGGUAAUACGUAGGGUGCGAGCGUUAAUCGGAAUUACUGGGCGUAAAGCGUGCGCAGGCGGUGCUGUAAGACCGAUGUGAAAUCCCCGGGCUUAACCUGGGAACUGCAUUGGUGACUGCAGCGCUGGAGUAUGGCAGAGGGGGGUGGAAUUCCACGU
This 576-nucleotide ribosomal RNA is filed under the name uncultured bacterium. RNAcentral describes it as "bacterial SSU rRNA". It matches the Rfam family "Bacterial small subunit ribosomal RNA", at positions 102 to 674 of the family's 1533-position model. The record is from RNAcentral.